UUACGGCCACAUCAAGUUGAAACACCAGUUCCCGUAUGAUUACAGAAGUUAAGCAACGUCGAGCCUGUUCAGUACCGAAACGGGUUGACGAUUUGUGAAUACCAGUUGCUGU
Acanthosepion pharaonis is the source of this 112-nucleotide non-coding RNA. The record is from the annotation of a GenBank genome assembly. Lineage: Eukaryota; Metazoa; Mollusca; Cephalopoda; Sepiida; Sepiidae.